AAGCCACAUUCGGUAGCUCUCUCUCUCUGCACUGCGUUGCUGAAAGGUGGCACUGUGUCCUAUUCUGUGUGAAAGAAUACAUUUUCAGAAUGUAAAAGGCGAGGAGGAACACACAAAACCUGAAGCUUGCUUCAUGAAUCAUUCCCUGUCAUCUGCGUGGAAAGACACUGAACGAAUCGCAGGAAACACAAGCGCUCUUCCAGAAUGUUCAAGGUGAAAGAGAAAGCAAACGGCAGGCCAAGUCUACAGUGCUAACUAUGGGACUCUGCAUCAGAUGCAAAGCCAACAGAGCCACACUCCCGGUAGACUUUCCGGAUGGCACUGCAGUACUUCCGCACUGCAGUGAACGCAGAUUUGUGACGUGAGAAAAGCUUGGCAGACAGCUACAGAGUAACACCAGAUUCCAUGGUUCCGUUUAGCUCUGUUUCGCUCAGAUUUCUUAAUUUUCUCAUUUCCCAUUUCAGAUGUGUUAAAUCGAGUGUUGGAAAUAAAUCACUGGAACAAGACAUUUGAGAACCCCGUUUCCUUUUCUACUUUGUCAGAAGUGCAGCCAUGUGUGAUCACACACACCGAAACAGCUUCCUAGACUGCGGAUAUUUGAGGAUUUGAGUUGAUGUGAAGAUGAUACAUACAGUUUUCUGAUUUUUCUCUUUGGGGGGAACUUGAAGCAACAUACUCCAUUACCUAUUCAGAAUGACCUGCCUGGGAGCUGAGGAAAUUCUCUAAGUAGCUGGGGUAGAAUGCGGCCAGUUGUCUAAAAAUGAAUCUUUUUUAUGUACCUGGCUGCUUUCUCACUGCCUCCCGAAUGAGCUAAGCACAGCUGGAUUGAUGCGUAGUCCUGGUGACAGCUGCUGGAGCUUCCUGUACUGAAAUUCAGCUUUCAUGUCCUAGCUGUUGCUUCUUGGUGUCCUCUGGAUUAACUUAAGUCUGCUUGCCUCCUACUCAAAAAGGGGACCUGCGAUGAAUAGAACUGCUAAGACCAGAAGCUCCAGCCUCCACCCAGGUCACAUGCUCUAAGAAGUAGAAUACCAGAGAGGUCAGGACACAGUCUGCUCUUUUACAUGAUAGCCUGCCUGACUGGACUCACCCUCCAUCUACAUGCUGGAGAUCUCACCAGACCGUCCCUGAGGGUGAUGAGUGCGGUUGCAUGGGUUCCAUGGUUCCGGAGCAGUACGGACCCUUACCUCGGACAAAAUUCCUGACCUACAACCUAUGCCUGUCAGUGGAGCAGGAGACAGCUCAUAUGCACACUUAUGCUGUAUUUUAUACAUAUCAUUUCUGUCAUU
Molecule: long non-coding RNA, 1286 nt
Organism: Meriones unguiculatus (Mongolian gerbil)
Lineage: Eukaryota; Metazoa; Chordata; Mammalia; Rodentia; Muridae
Exons: 3
Source: RefSeq, a predicted model, not a curated record